UACGUAGGUGGCGAGCGUUGUCCGGAUUUAUUGGGCGUAAAGCGCCCGCAGGCGGCCUGUUAAGUUCAAGGUGAAAUCUCCCGGCUCAACUGGGAGGGUGCCUCGAAAACUGGCAGGCUUGAGGCAGGGAGAGGGAUGCAGAAUUCCUGGUGUAGCGGUGAAAUGCGUAGAUAUCAGGAGGAAUACCAGUGGCGAAGGCGGCAUCCUGGCCCUGUCCUGACGCUCAGGGGCGAAAGCGUGGGGAGCAAACCGG
Molecule: ribosomal RNA, 253 nt
Filed under: uncultured bacterium
Lineage: Bacteria
Description: partial 16S ribosomal RNA
Rfam family: Bacterial small subunit ribosomal RNA
Source: RNAcentral